RNAcentral lists this unclassified non-coding RNA (186 nucleotides) under Glomus sp. RNAcentral describes it as "partial contains 5.8S ribosomal RNA and internal transcribed spacer 2". The stretch from base 1 to 65 matches the Rfam family "5.8S ribosomal RNA", at positions 84 to 154 of the family's 154-position model. The record is from RNAcentral. Lineage: Eukaryota; Fungi; Glomeromycota; Glomeromycetes; Glomerales; Glomeraceae.
GUGAAUCAUCAAAUUUUUGAACGCAAAUUGCACUCUCUUCGGAGAGUAUGCCUGUUUGAGGGUCAGCCUAUAAAAAAUCGACAUAGUCGCUGUUUCGCGGUGGCGUUCGUCGGAAAUUGGGUCAUCUUAAACCUUUGUGUUUUUUACGAGGCAUAAAAUUUUCUUGACGAUUUGACGAACUCUUCU